UGGGGAAUAUUGGACAAUGGGCGAAAGCCUGAUCCAGCCAUGCCGCGUGUGUGAAGAAGGCCUUUUGGUUGUAAAGCACUUUAAGCGAGGAGGAGGAGCUUCAGGUUAAUACCCUGGAUGCUUGGACGUUACUCGCAGAAUAAGCACCGGCUAACUCUGUGCCAGCAGCCGCGGUAAUACAGAGGGUGCAAGCGUUAAUCGGGUUUACUGGGCGUAAAGCGUGCGUAGGCGGUCUGUCAAGUCGGAUGUGAAAUCCCCGGGCUCAACCUGGGAACUGCAUUCGAAACUGGCAGGCUAGAGUCUUGUAGAGGGGGGUAGAAUUCCAGGUGUAGCGGUGAAAUGCUUAGAUAUCACGAAGAACUCCGAUUGCGAAGGCAGCUUACGGGAGCACAACUGACGC
RNAcentral lists this ribosomal RNA (400 nucleotides) under uncultured bacterium. RNAcentral describes it as "bacterial SSU rRNA". It matches the Rfam family "Bacterial small subunit ribosomal RNA", at positions 355 to 746 of the family's 1533-position model. The record is from RNAcentral.